This 769-nucleotide ribosomal RNA is filed under the name uncultured Acidobacteriota bacterium. RNAcentral describes it as "bacterial SSU rRNA". It matches the Rfam family "Bacterial small subunit ribosomal RNA", at positions 58 to 807 of the family's 1533-position model. The record is from RNAcentral. Lineage: Bacteria; Pseudomonadati; Acidobacteriota.
CAAGUCGAACGCGAAAGGGGCUUCGGUCCUGAGUAGAGUGGCGAACGGGUGAGUAACACGUGGGUGAUCUACCUUCGAGUGGGGGAUAACGUCCCGAAAGGGACGCUAAUACCGCAUGACGUUCUGGGUUUAAAGACCUGGAAACCAAAGCCGGGGACCGCAAGGCCUGGCGCUUGGAGAGGAGCCCGCGUCCGAUUAGCUAGUUGGCGGGGUAACGGCCCACCAAGGCGACGAUCGGUAGCCGGCCUGAGAGGGCGGACGGCCACACUGGAACUGAGACACGGUCCAGACUCCUACGGGAGGCAGCAGUGGGGAAUUGUUCACAAUGGGCGCAAGCCUGAUGACGCAACGCCGCGUGGGGGAUGAAGGUCUUCGGAUCGUAAACCCCUGUCGAACGGGAAGAAAGACCCGGGAGCUAAUCAUCCUGGGAGUGACGGUACCGUUAAAGGAAGCCACGGCUAACUCUGUGCCAGCAGCCGCGGUAAUACAGAGGUGGCAAGCGUUGUUCGGAAUUACUGGGCGUAAAGGGCGCGUAGGCGGCCUUCUAAGUCAGACGUGAAAUCCCCCGGCUUAACCUGGGAACUGCGUCUGAUACUGGGAGGCUAGAGUAUGGGAGAGGGAUGUAGAAUUCCAGGUGUAGCGGUGAAAUGCGUAGAUAUCUGGAGGAAUACCGGUGGCGAAGGCGGCAUCCUGGACCAUUACUGACGCUGAGGCNCGAAAGCUAGGGGAGCAAACGGGAUUAGAUACCCCGGUAGUCCUAGCCCAAACC